GCCGGCAGUCACAGGGCUCACCCAGCUCCCACCCAAACCAAAGGGCCGGUCUCACUCCCACCGUGCACCCCCCAACAGCCCCCAGUCCGUUUCCAGGCGGAGAGGGAUACAGGCCUGAAAACCUGCCCCAGGCUACCCGCCUCCCAGCUGCGAGAGAAAAAGGCUUGGUUCUUCCCCCGCCUGUGGAGUCAGCACCCCGGAUUCGUGCCCUGCCCUAGUUCUGGCCAGGAGGAUUCUCACCCAGUUCAAACUGUUACAACGCUCAGCUAGAGAUUUCCUUCUCCCUGUGGAGUUUUACCCCCUCCUCUCCCGAUGGAUCCCUGUGGUGCCAGCAGGAAUGGGCUGCUCGGGGACCCAGCGAGCUCCGCGGGCCUUUCCGCUGCUUCCUCUACCCCUGUACCUCACUGGGCUCCCCAGACGGACUCAGCUCCAGUGUUUCUUUCAUGCUGCAGUGCCUUCCUUCAGUUCAACUAAUGUUCACAGAAAAUCUGUAGAAUGAGCAGGUAAAUCCUGGAACCUCAGAAUGUCAGGAAGUAGAGCAGAGAAGGAGGGGUACGGGCAGGUGCGCAGCUCGGCCUCUCUCAGUGCUCGGGUGUGUGGUACAGGUGUCUGUGAACUCAAGAGAAGCCUUUCAUUCUAGACAUAGUAGUUAUUUUCUAAAUCAUCUUUAAACUUAUUUGCUGGAAUAUUGUGGGGGUAAAGUGCAAACUUCCCCUUCACCAUCUGAAGGUUUGCUAAAAAUCAACAGGCAGAAGGCGAAUUAACAGGAGAAAUGGCAUGCCAAUUUGUUUGAUCACAGUUUUACAUGAAGAAUGAAGACCCAAAGACACAUGAGAAAUUGUCCAUUUUUAUGCAACACCAGACCAGGCGAUGCUCUAAGACAGGUACAACAAAGUAUGGACAUGCGUGUAGAAAUACGAGUCAACUAAAGGGUGUGAUCUACUGCUAAUAGGCUGAGUGGGGACACCCAGACUCUUCCUGGCCCCUGUGAGCAGCUUCCUUUCCUUCUGGUGUGGGGCAGGAACUUCUCUGGAAUGGGGAUCUUCUGACCCACAGUCAAACAAGAAUUGGACAGAAGUCACAUCAGGGAGACCAGAGACUAGAGUAUUGCAUCAUAGAGGAAAGACACUGAUGACAAGACCUCAGGGGAGCAGUGGAACUGGAGGCCUGGGAGCUUGGGACGUGUUCUCCGGGUGAAGUUGGCUGGCCAGCUGAUGACCUACACCAGUGCCAUUCACUCCUCAUGUGUCCCCCGGGAAUUCAUAGUGUGUGUCAUCAGGUAAAAGCAACACUACUUUCAGAUGUUUUCUGAUCUCUUUGAGAUCUGGACAACACUACUGUGUACAUAUGGCCAGCAACAAAUUACACUCAAUGAAUAUUUUAGAGAGCAGCAAAGUAAUCAAUUAAAAUGUGGGUAAACAAAAAUCACUGUGAUCACAGCUCUGUCUACAUGGUUCUUUGGUAAAAAAUUAGAAUCCUGGGGAUUAGUCUGAGGAUAAAUAUUAUUUAAAAAGCAUUUUGGUUAAAUAGUAAUUAGUAAAUUUUGCUCUGCCGAAAA
Molecule: long non-coding RNA, 1558 nt
Filed under: Homo sapiens (human)
Lineage: Eukaryota; Metazoa; Chordata; Mammalia; Primates; Hominidae
Description: HSALNT0324452
Source: RNAcentral